ACGCACGCUGGCGGCGUGCUUCACCCCUGCAGGUCGAACGGAAAGGCCCUGCUUUUGUGGGGUGCUCGAGUGGCGAACGGGUGAGUAACACGUGAGUAACCUGCCCUUGACUUUGGGAUAACUUCAGGAAACUGGGGCUAAUACCGGAUAGGAGCUCCUGCUGCAUGGUGGGGGUUGGAAAGUUUCGGCGGUUGGGGAUGGACUCGCGGCUUAUCAGCUUGUUGGUGGGGUAGUGGCUUACCAAGGCUUUGACGGGUAGCCGGCCUGAGAGGGUGACCGGCCACAUUGGGACUGAGAUACGGCCCAGACUCCUACGGGAGGCAGCAGUGGGGAAUAUUGCACAAUGGGCGGAAGCCUGAUGCAGCAACGCCGCGUGCGGGAUGACGGCCUUCGGGUUGUAAACCGCUUUCGCCUGUGACGAAGCGUGAGUGACGGUAAUGGGUAAAGAAGCACCGGCUAACUACGUG
Molecule: ribosomal RNA, 467 nt
Filed under: uncultured bacterium
Lineage: Bacteria
Description: partial 16S ribosomal RNA
Rfam family: Bacterial small subunit ribosomal RNA
Source: RNAcentral